GCAAGUCGAGCGAGCGGAACUAACAGAUUUACUUCGGUAAUGACGUUAGGAAAGCGAGCGGCGGAUGGGUGAGUAACACGUGGGGAACCUGCCCCAUAGUCUGGGAUACCACUUGGAAACAGGUGCUAAUACCGGAUAAGAAAGCAGAUCGCAUGAUCAGCUUUUAAAAGGCGGCGUAAGCUGUCGCUAUGGGAUGGCCCCGCGGUGCAUUAGCUAGUUGGUAAGGUAAAGGCUUACCAAGGCGAUGAUGCAUAGCCGAGUUGAGAGACUGAUCGGCCACAUUGGGACUGAGACACGGCCCAAACUCCUACGGGAGGCAGCAGUAGGGAAUCUUCCACAAUGGACGCAAGUCUGAUGGAGCAGCGCCGCGUGAGUGAAGAAGGUUUUCGGAUCGUAAAGCUCUGUUGUUGGUGAAGAAGGAUAGAGGUAGUAACUGGCCUUUAUUUGACGGUAAUCAACCAGAAAGUCACGGCUAACUACGUGCCAGCAGCCGCGGUAAUACGUAGGUGGCAAGCGUUGUCCGGAUUUAUUGGGCGUAAAGCGAGCGCAGGCGGAAGAAUAAGUCUGAUGUGAAAGCCCUCGGCUUAACCGAGGAACUGCAUCGGAAACUGUUUUUCUUGAGUGUAGAAGAGGAGAGUGGAACUCCAUGUGUAGCGGUGGAAUGCGUAGAUAUAUGGAAGAACACCAGUGGCGAAGGCG
Molecule: ribosomal RNA, 699 nt
Filed under: uncultured Bacilli bacterium
Lineage: Bacteria; Bacillati; Bacillota; Bacilli
Description: bacterial SSU rRNA
Rfam family: Bacterial small subunit ribosomal RNA
Source: RNAcentral